AAAAAGGCAAACCCUGGGUUUCCGUGCCAACGUUUGACUGUCCGUCUUAUAUGAAAUUUUUUUUAUAAUUAGUAUUUUUAUUGUUGUUAGAUGAUAAAACAUGAUUAAUACUUUAUGAAUGACUUAUCUUUUUAAUUUUUUCAUAACUUUUUCAAAUAAGACGGACGGUCAAACGUUGGACACCGAAAUCAGGGUUUGUCUUUUU
Oryza rufipogon (brownbeard rice) is the source of this 205-nucleotide microRNA precursor. It matches the Rfam family "MIR812 microRNA precursor family". The record is from Rfam. NCBI's taxonomy places the organism in Eukaryota, Viridiplantae, Streptophyta, Magnoliopsida, Poales, Poaceae.